CCUACGGGUGGCAGCAGUGAGGAAUAUUGGUCAAUGGACGAGAGUCUGAACCAGCCAAGUAGCGUGAAGGAUGACUGCCCUAUGGGUUGUAAACUUCUUUUAUAUGGGAAUAAAACAGGGUAUGCAUACCCUCUUGUAUGUACCAUAUGAGUAAGGAUCGGCUAACUCCGUGCCAGCAGCCGCGGUAAUACGGAGGAUCCGAGCGUUAUCCGGAUUUAUUGGGUUUAAAGGGAGCGUAGGGGGAUUGUUAAGUCAGAUGUGAAAGUUUGGGGCUCAACCGUAAAAUUGCAGUUGAAACUGGCAGGCUUGAGUACAGUAGAGGUGGGUAGAAUUCGUGGUGUAGCGGUGAAAUGCUUAGAGAUCACGAAGAAUACCGAUUGCGAAGGCAGCUCACUGGACUGCAACUGACACUGAUGUGCGAAAGCGUGGGGAGCAAACAGGAUUAGAUACCCUGGUAGUC
RNAcentral lists this ribosomal RNA (460 nucleotides) under uncultured bacterium. RNAcentral describes it as "partial 16S ribosomal RNA". It matches the Rfam family "Bacterial small subunit ribosomal RNA", at positions 338 to 795 of the family's 1533-position model. The record is from RNAcentral.